AUUGAACGCUGGCGGCAUGCCUUACACAUGCAAGUCGAACGGUAACAGGUUAAGCUGACGAGUGGCGAACGGGUGAGUAAUAUAUCGGAACGUGCACAGUCGUGGGGGAUAACGUAGCGAAAGCUACGCUAAUACCGCAUACGAUAUACGGAAGAAAGCGGGGGAUGGCAAGACCUCGCGCGAUUGGAGCGGCCGAUAUCAGAUUAGGUUGUUGGUGAGGUAAAAGCUCACCAAGCCUGCGAUCUGUAGCCGGUCUGAGAGGACGACCAGCCACACUGGAACUGAGGCACGGUCCAGACUCCUACGGGAGGCAGCAGUGGGGAAUUUUGGACAAUGGACGCAAGUCUGAUCCAGCAAUGCCGCGUGCAGGACGAAGGCCUUCGGUUUGUAAACUGCUUUUGUACGGAACGAAACGGUGAGCUCUAAUAUAGUUUGCUAAUGACGGUACCGUAAGAAUAAGCACCGGCUAACUACGUGCCAGCCGCCGCCGUAA
RNAcentral lists this ribosomal RNA (493 nucleotides) under uncultured bacterium. RNAcentral describes it as "partial 16S ribosomal RNA". It matches the Rfam family "Bacterial small subunit ribosomal RNA", at positions 30 to 523 of the family's 1533-position model. The record is from RNAcentral.